GUGCUUUCUUCGGCAGCACAUAAAGUAAAAUCGAAAUGAUACAGAGAAGACUAGCAUGGCCCCUGCGCAAGGAUGAACAUGCAAAUUUGUGAGGUGUUCCAUAUUUUU
Molecule: small nuclear RNA, 108 nt
Organism: Sorex araneus (European shrew)
Lineage: Eukaryota; Metazoa; Chordata; Mammalia; Eulipotyphla; Soricidae
Source: RefSeq, a predicted model, not a curated record